UGCGUAGGGUGCGAGCGUUGUCCGGAAUUACUGGGCGUAAAGAGCUCGUAGGUGGUUUGUCGCGUUGUCCGUGAAAACUCACAGCUUAACUGUGGGCGUGCGGGCGAUACGGGCAGACUGGAGUACUGCAGGGGAGACUGGAAUUCCUGGUGUAGCGGUGGAAUGCGCAGAUAUCAGGAAGAACACCCGUGGCGAAAGCGGCUCUCUGGGACGGUACUGACGCUGAGACGCGAAAGCGUGGGGAGCGAACAGG
This 253-nucleotide ribosomal RNA is filed under the name uncultured bacterium. RNAcentral describes it as "partial 16S ribosomal RNA". It matches the Rfam family "Bacterial small subunit ribosomal RNA", at positions 524 to 776 of the family's 1533-position model. The record is from RNAcentral.